RNAcentral lists this ribosomal RNA (567 nucleotides) under Naganishia adeliensis. RNAcentral's name for it is "eukaryotic LSU rRNA". It matches the Rfam family "Eukaryotic large subunit ribosomal RNA", at positions 48 to 621 of the family's 3401-position model. The record is from RNAcentral. Lineage: Eukaryota; Fungi; Basidiomycota; Tremellomycetes; Filobasidiales; Filobasidiaceae.
AAGCGGAGGAAAAGAAACUAACAAGGAUUCCCCUAGUAACGGCGAGUGAAGCGGGAAGAGCUCAAAUUUGAAAUCUGGUAGCCUUCGGUUGCCCGAGUUGUAAUCUAGAGAAGUGUUUUCCGUGCCGGCCCAUGUACAAGUCCCUUGGAACAGGGCGUCAUAGAGGGUGAGAAUCCCGUCCUUGACAUGGACCCCCGGUGCUUUGUGAUACACUUUCAACGAGUCGAGUUGUUUGGGAAUGCAGCUCAAAAUGGGUGGUGAAUUCCAUCUAAAGCUAAAUAUUGGCGAGAGACCGAUAGCGAACAAGUACCGUGAGGGAAAGAUGAAAAGCACUUUGGAAAGAGAGUUAAACAGUACGUGAAAUUGUUGAAAGGGAAACGAUUGAAGUCAGUCAUGCUCUUAGGAUUCAGCCGUUCUGCGGUGUAUUUCCUUUGAGUGGGGUCAACAUCAGUUUUGAUCGAUGGAUAAAGGCACGAGGAAGGUAGCACUCUCGGGUGAACUUAUAGCCUCGCGUCAUAUACAUUGAUUGGGACUGAGGAACGCAGCAUGCCUUUAUGGCCGGGAUUC